Molecule: long non-coding RNA, 3914 nt
Organism: Falco peregrinus (peregrine falcon)
Lineage: Eukaryota; Metazoa; Chordata; Aves; Falconiformes; Falconidae
Exons: 2
Source: RefSeq, a predicted model, not a curated record
ACGAGGCGGCAAACCCCGCCUCUCAGCGGCGACACGCUUCGCGCAUGGGUCGUAAGCCACGCCCCCCCUCCACCGCGUGCUGCCGGCCGCCGUUACCGGCACCGCGGUCCCGCGCGGCGCUCGCUGCUGCCUCCCGAGUUGCCCUUAGCGAGGCAAAGAACGAACCAGAAGCAGAGCGCUCAUCUUACAUUGUGGGCACCAUUGUCACAAGGAAAGAAAGCAAGAAAAGGAAAAACCAAACGAGCAAGAAUGAUGACCACAAAAUCUAAUUAAGAAAUGCUGCGCCACUAACGAGUUACGGUAGGAGUCACACGUUGACAAAGACGGACACGCUAUAGUACCUGGAAAAUGGUUAUCAGCUUCCACAGUGCAUGUGUCGCAGCACUGUCCCAACUCACCGGCUGCAACAAGGCUUUUCCCCCCCAUGCCUGGUUAACUCCAGUAAGUAGCUCCUACCCCUUGCACGGCCACCAGCCCCCACGAGGUUUCAAAGGUUCACCUCCUGCCCGCGCUGUUUCUCCAUCCCCUUCAGGCCAGCCCACCCUGCUUCUCGCCUCUGCUGCGUCUGGAUUCUUCCUUCUCCCGGCUCCCCUGCCAGCCGGCCUCUCCUCAUCUGGGCUCCCUUCUUCUCCCGGUAUCUCUCCUCCAUCCAGUGCUCCUCUUCACACAGUCCUAACUACUCAGCAGGAACCAGCCACAGCUGCACAUUAUCCCCACCAGCCAGCCCACCGCUGUAUAUUAUCAACGUUAAUUAACCUGCCUUCAUUCCUCAACAUGCACCACUGAGCUGGUUCCUCCUGCUGUAGAUGAGGGGGUUCAGUGCUGGAGGCACCACCGAGUACAGAACCGACACCGCCAGGUCCAGGGAUGGGCUUCAGGUAGGCAAACGUGGCCGUGGUGACAAACGGGGAGAGCACGGCCAGGGGAGGGAGGGAGGGACGGACGUGGAAAAGGCUUUGUGGUGUCCCUGCUCAGAGGGGAUCCUCAGCACAGCCCUGAAGAUCUGCACAUAGGACAGCACGAUAAAACACCCCAAAAAGAUGAAAGCACUGAAGAUGAGAAGUUGGAAUUCCCUGAGGCAGGCGUGUGAGCAGGAGAGCUUGAGCAGCUGGGGAAGUUCAGGGAAGAACUGGUCCAUGGCAUUGCCCUUGCAGUGGUACAGAAAAUGUGUUGGCUGCGUGAAGCACGGAGUAGAGAAACCCACUGCCCCAGGCAGCUGCUGCCAUGUGGACCACGUGCUGUAGUGCGGGGCUUUGCACAUGGCAACAAAGCAGUCGUAGGCCACGAGGGUGAGAAUACAAUACUCUGCUAUGAUGAAAAAGAUCAAUAGAAAGAGCUGUGCAGCAUGUCCAGCACAGGAGAUGGCCCUGGUGUCCCACCGGGAAUUGGCCAUGGCUUUGGGGAGCGUGGUGGAGAUGGAGCCCAGGUCAAGAAGGGACAGGCUGAGGAGGAAGAAGUACCUGGGGGUGUGGAGGUGGUGGCCCAGGCUAAGGCGGUGCUGAUGGUGCUGUUGCCCGUGAGGGCAGCCACGUAGAUGCCCAGGAAGAGCCAGAAGUGCAAAAGCUGCAUCUGCAGAUGCCAGGAGGAGGAACUGGGUGAUGGAGCUGCCGUUGGACAUCUGCUGCCUCUGGGCACGGGGACCUGUCGAAGGAAGAAAAGGCAGGGAGAAGUUAAGGCAGAGUUCCCCGAGGAAAACUGACCUUGGUUCUUGUGGAGGCCCCCCAGGCAUCCUUGCCCCUUUCAGGGGGACAUCUGUAAUGUCCCUUGUACGAGCUCUGCGUGCUGCAGGCUCUGGCAGGGACACUCCUGCCCUACAGCAGCGGCGAAAGAGGAACAGGGUGAUCUCUGAUGAAACCACCUCUGGUACCAAUGAGCCUCUCAGCACUGUUGCUCCCAUUUCAGCCAACAGCCGAGCACAGCUGCCGGGAUUUUGGUAUUUGCAUUUGGUUCUAGUUUUCUCAUCACAACUGAGGAGUGGCUCGAAGGCAGAAGGAAGCCCCGGCACUCCUGUUGCAAUCCAGGUAUAUCCUUGUGGUGUGUAGGUGCUUCUGAAAAGCGAGCAGUUCCUUUUCUCACCCCAGAAAGCAGGGAGCAGAACUUUUGUGGUGUCCUUCACAUGGCUGCCAGAGCAUGUGAAUGAGUAUCGUGAGCAAAGUGAGAGCCACCAACAGAAGUCCUUCCUGGCACCUUCUCUGGUGGAGCUGUGCAUGGGUGGUGCCAUGGAGUGUUUUGAGUGAGCGGUUACUUUUCUACAGCAUGGCAAGCAGGUAGCAGAACUUUUGUGGUGUGCUUCACGUGGCUACCAGGGCAGGGUGAGACCCACCAAGAGAAGUUCUUCAUGGCACCUUCUCCUGGGGACCUGUGGCUGGAUGGUCCAUGGAGCAUUUGAGUCUGUGUGAGUGCAAAAGCGAGCACUUAAGCUUCUCACCACGGAAAGGAGGUAGCUGUGCUUUGGAGAUGUCACUCCGGUGGCCACCAGCGUAGUGUGAGGAAAACCAAAUGAAUUCCUUCCUGGCACCUUCUCCAGGGGAGCUGUGCCGGCGUGGUUCUGUGGGGCGUUUUGGCCCGGGACAGUGAGCUGAGCCGGGGGACACAACGAGAAACCAUGAGCCAGGCAGCAGGACAGAGGUACAGACAAAAAGUUAGGGGGGGAGGAUGGGGGACAGGGAGCAGAGCAGAGAUGGAGACAGAAACAUUAGAGAGAGUGAGAGGACCAAGAGAUGGAUCAAGGAGAAAAGGAAUGUGGUGGGUAGCAGGCAGCAGCAGCGAGCGGCUCUUUGGCCGGUCCCGUCAGGAGCCUGGGGAGCACCGCAGGGGUGGUGUUGGGGGGCACAAGGGCUGAGGGGCAUCGCAGAGUUAACGGGGACCUGCAGGGCACAGAGGAGCUCCAGGGAGGCAUCGGUGGGAGGAGAGGGGUGGAGAGGGCACGGGAGAGCCCCAGGAGGUGACCCGAGCAGGGGCCUGAACAGAGGCAUCCCAGAUGGCACAGAGGGGGGGAAAAAAAGCAUGUUCCUUGGGCACGAAGCUGCCUGUAGGAGGUUCUGAAGGAGCAAAAUGGGUCCAAAACGUGCUGGAGAACAUCAAGUGUCCCGAGGGGAACCUGGGUGGCCCCAUGAUAAUCGGGACAAGGAGCAGAGCAGUUCUCAGGCAGAGUGACAAAAGGCUUGGGGGUAUGGUGAGGAACUUGGGAGGGGACGUGAGCAGAGUACAGAUGUCCUCAAGGGGACCAGAGCCUGACCAGAGGACCUGAGAUGGCAUAAAGGACAAAAAAACCCAAACCAAACCCACCGUGAAAAAAAGCUCUGGGGCACAAGAAAGGCUUGAGGAGAAAUGAUGGGAACAGAAGGGUCUGGGGUGGGGUGGGAGGGACAGAGACGAAAGAGGCGUGAGGGUCCUCCCAGGCCUUGCAGGGGCACAGGGGGUACCACUGCCCCAGGCCUUGCAGGACAAAGAGGGAUCGGCAGCAUGUGAAGACACAGGGGGCUGCUCAGGAGGAUGGGAAGAGAAAGAAGGAGCAAGAGGACUGAAAAAGUGAUGGAGAGCAGCAGAGAGGGAGCGGCAAGAAGACAGAGAAGCAUCUAGACUGAGCUUCACAGAUGAACACAGGACACCUACGUGGUUAAACGGGAACUUAACGAUGGUGUAAGGCCUUGUGCCAGCACCUCUGGCUUUAGCUGGUGGUACUUCCUACUCAUCCUCAUUUAUGGCAUAACAACUGGGGAAGAAAUAUCAGAAGAAAAAUCAGAAAAGCCACUGACCCCUUCCCCCUCUCCCAAAAGCAGCGAAGAACAGACAUCCACCCCCUCCCAGAGUUGUUGCAUCCCUUAGAAUCUCAGCCUUGACAGUGGAUUGCCUCUUUCGCUUACUGCCUUUUAACAGACUCUAGAAGCAAUAAAUUAGUAGCCAUAAACUGA